Long non-coding RNA from Passer domesticus (house sparrow), 4006 nucleotides. RefSeq lists it as uncharacterized. The record is from RefSeq and is a predicted model, not a curated record. The transcript is spliced from 2 exons. Lineage: Eukaryota; Metazoa; Chordata; Aves; Passeriformes; Passeridae.
CUGACGUUUUUGUUUCUUGACAACUUCAUCCGUCUUUUUAGCAGGUUUUGUUUUGGACAGAGGUUUCCUGCGUAUUUACUGUCUCUUCUAAACCAAGUGCAAUGUGUAAUAUUGAGACGCGUUGUGAAUAAGCAGAAUUUGUUAGCUUGUUAAAAUUAAGUGAUUCCUGGUAAGCGCAGGGUAUAAUCCUAUACUUAGACUCCUGACUCUCAUUUACUUCGCAGCACAACUUUUUGUCUUGGACACACACUUCAGCGCUACAAAUUAAUCUCUGAGGUUUAUUACGAGCUGCUCUGUAGCCACAGAAGUCCUCAGGCUUCUUGCUGAAAUUGCACCCAGCCAUGCCUUUCUGCAAGGCGAGGGAGAAAGGAGGUCCACAGGAGUUCAUGUUAACAAUGACUCUAAAUGCCCGUUUCCCACACAUCUUUGCUAGCACAAACAGCAAAAAUAGUCCACUUGCACAGAAUCUGAUUCAGCUUUCUUGCAUUCCGCAAUAACAGAUGGAUUGCUAGACUGUUUACUGUUGCUUCCCACAAACUUCCUGUUAGUAAACUCCUGUAUUAUUUAUGAAACAAAAAAAAUACAAAGAAGUAUCUUAGCUGAUUACUGCCUGCUGGUGAACCACUGCCAGAGAAACUUUUUAUACAAAUAUGUUUAUGGGAGCAAGGAUCCCUUCUGAUGCAGUUGUUGGGGUAUUAUUAUUAUUUUUCCAAUUGUUUGUUUCACUGUUUCCUGUGACCCUAUUGUGCUGUGCUCCUGAGAAGGCAUUUCCUGCACUCAAUUUGCAGUUGAGAUAUCUGUGAAUGUGUAAAGGAGCUCGGGGUGGGGGGAAAAGCAGCACACAUACAUGUUACAGAGAUCAGCUAUGAAUAGGAAAUAUUUAAAGCCUUGUUGCUUUGCAAUGACAAUGACGAAUGAGAUUUUCCUAAUGUGGCAUUAAUCUCUGCUGACCCAGCUUAGGAAGCGGAGUGUCUCGGAGCUUUUUGACAGAAAACAGGGAAUAGUGCUCUGUCGACCACCUUCAUGCUACUUCUGACAUAAGUAGACAGUAAAUGUGAAGAAACUUUAUUUUCCUCUCAGACUGGCUGUUAAACUGCACAAAAGAGAGGAGCUGAGAGGAGCACUUUGUUUGCACUGCACACCGUAGAUUAGACUGAUUUCUGACUCUCAGUGUUGUGGGAGAGGAGGCCAGCCUGCAAUCUGUCUGUACAAUUUUAUCAACAGAGCUAGUGAAUUUUAAAAAUCAUCUGUAAUAAAAAAGAGCAGAAUGUAAUGCAAAAAUAUGAAAUUUGUAUAUUACCAAAAGUCCUUUUAGUGUUUUUAGAAAUAACACUUGACCUAAAGUCAUUCUGUUUUUUAAAAUAGUUGCUAUUAUAUUUCAUUGAGAUUCUGUUCUAUUUAUGUAUUCUGUAUGAAUGAAUUGGCUGCUCCACCUGAUAUUUAUGAUUGUAGUCACGCAUUAUAUACACACACAGAAACAGAAUGAAAUUUUUCCUGAUCUGAGACACAGAUAAUUUUUCCUCGAGGUUUUUUAUUUGAUUCCCUAAACCAAAACCAAAACUCAAACCAGCACUGCGGAGCGAGCACUUUCUAACGUUAGCCCUGCGAAGUGGAUCGUUCACUGCAUGAGGUUUAACAAAAAAAGCUGCUGUGUGUUAUAGGCAACUGCAGGAUGCCGAUUAAACCAUUGCAUACCUUUAUGUGAUCUGUACUUGCAAAAAAAACUGGUGUCAGGUGGAGCAGGGCAUUUACUGAUCCUGGGGCAGAGCUCCUUCCCGAGUGUUGGAGUGAGUCGGCGUCACGUAAGCGAUCACUCAUUUCAAGUCAUAGUAAGAAUAUGUCUUCUCUGAGCAAACUCUUUCCUCUGCCUCCUCAAACACCCUCGCUCAGAGCUCCUGCUGACAGAAACAGAAUUCAAUGGAAUUAAGGCAGAUGAUCAGUGGCACUAUCUCCUGAUGCUUCAAUCCACAAACAAGAAUCUUGUGGCAGAUGUUUCUGCACUUUAUGCAAAUAGGAACUUCAUGGAUCAGUUUUCUUUUCCUCCACGGAAUAUAUGCAGCUGGAAAAUAGAAAUCCAGCUCCGCAGCACAAAGUGGGGGGGAAAAAAAAAAAAUCAUGCUGCUGACCAAACAGGAGAAAGCGAUCUGUAGCUGUGAAAUCAAAUAAUUAAACUGCUGGUUCUCAGGAUCAUUUCUGGGCUCAAUCAAGUGGUGUAUGCGACGAUCCAGGUUUUGUGGGCUCUUUCUGCAGCAGCGCUGUGGCUCACAAGUCGUUUCUGGAACGGGAAAAAGAGAUCUCUCUUGUGCUGUGUAUAAUAUUUCCUCAUAAAUGUUUUCCUUUCUUUUACCCUUUCUGAUAUGCUGUUUUCAUUCUCACAGUAGCUGUGGAUAGCUGUAUUAGAUGUGAUGCAUAAGUGUAUUAAAAUAGUGGAGUUUGCACACGAAGAAAGGGUUUCAGCCCAUUAUAUGUAAUAAAUAGGGUAUAGGCAUUUAUAUAAACUGAAUGGGUUAGGUAUGUUCUUUAUAAUAGCAUGGAAAGCUGGACAUGUGAGAAUGACUGAUGAAAAGAAAAAGAAUAAUUUCCUUCCUGUUGGUUGAAAGGAAAAAAAUAACUCUUAAACUUAGAGGAGGUUCUAAGGAAAUGUAGUUUUAUAAAUUAUUGUGUAAUAUGUAAAAUCAUGCAAUACAGAAGGGCUGUAGAAUGCCACCUAAUAGAACCCUAGAAAAUCAUGAAAGGUGAUAAUCCUAAAUGCAAUUAUUUUAAAAAAGCUAUUUUUAUUACUAUUACUAAAUAAAAUCAAUAGCACUAUUUUAGACUGAUUUGUUCUUCUUCUGAUUUUAUAUAUUUCUUUGAAGAUUUCUGUGGAAGUAUUUUUUAUCAUCAGACAUCAGAAUAAGUCUCAAGAGUUGUUAGACAACAUCUGUAUCUUAUUUUCUCGGUGAGGCUUUUGUUAAUUUUGUAUAUUUUCUGUGUUUUAAUAUCUCUUGUGGGUCACAAUUUUUUUUUUCCAAAUUUUCAAUUAAUACUUAAUUCAAUGCCUGUAUCUGGCACUGUGUGAACAUUCAGUAAGGCUCUAUGAUAAAUUUUAUUUAUAAAUACACAAAGCCUGGUUUUGUGGUAUUGUCUAGAACCUUGUCUUCAUUUCAUGACUAGUCAAAUUCUGGGAAAAGAUCUUUAUUCAAUUCAGAUGUACUACAUUAUUUUCUUCAAAAGCCCCCUUCUGUAUUUCUUCCAGUUAAAUUUGCAAUAAACAGUAGUGAUUUUACCUGGAUUUAUUUUAAUUGAUUUUCUUAAAAAAAAACAAGCACAAAACCAACACCCAAAGAUGCAGUGCCAUUUCUAGGAAAAGAGGAAAGAAAGGCUCCACGUGUGAAAACGACAAUCGUGCUGCACUGACUCUAAUUCAGACACCAGCAAACACUUGCCAAUACGUCUGUAUGUGCUAUAUCAUGUCUGCUUUUGCAAGUGGCUGUGCAGCUACUGAAGUUCUGCAGUUAAGGUACAGUUUGAGCUGACCUGUGUCUGAAAAGUCAAAUACAAUUCGAGACUCAAGUAUUAAUAGAAUAAACUUAAUUUUUUUUUAUAGGUGCAGCUGCAUUUUCGAUUUAAUUAUAGGCUCCCACAGUAGUAAUUUUUCCGUGACCUACUCAAUCUCAAAAGUCAGAAAAUUGCUUCUUUUUUAAAGCUGACAAUAGCACGGUAUGUUUCCAAAGGAAAAAGACAAAUUACAGCAAAUCAUUACUUUAAGCAUAUUUAAAUAGCUGGGAAGAAAUCCUAAUUGAAAAGUUUGCUAAAAUGUGAAAAAGUUAGUGGUGCUUUUUUUCUUUUUUAGAAAAAGAUUAUUCUCAUGUUUGUAACAUUGCAAGCUGCUUAUGAUAUGAUGCCUUUCCUUUCUCUGCUCAUCCCUCUACUUCUUUUCUUUCUGAUGUGGUUGGACACAAGGUUUUUAGGAAGCAAAAAUUUUAACUGGAGAGAAAUCAAUCUGUAGAUGUGUUUAAUAAUGUAA